This 468-nucleotide ribosomal RNA is filed under the name uncultured bacterium. Its description in RNAcentral is "partial 16S ribosomal RNA". It matches the Rfam family "Bacterial small subunit ribosomal RNA", at positions 28 to 507 of the family's 1533-position model. The record is from RNAcentral.
GACGAACGCUGGCGGCGUGCUUAACACAUGCAAGUCGAACGGAAAGGCCCUGCUUUUGUGGGGUGCUCGAGUGGCGAACGGGUGAGUAACACGUGAGUAACCUGCCCUUUACUUUGGGAUAACUUCAGGAAACUGGGGCUAAUACCGGAUAGGAGCUCCUGCUGCAUGGUGGGGGUUGGAAAGUUUCGGCGGUUGGGGAUGGACUCGCGGCUUAUCAGCUUGUUGGUGGGGUAGUGGCUUACCAAGGCUUUGACGGGUAGCCGGCCUGAGAGGGUGACCGGCCACAGUGGGACUGAGAUACGGCCCAGACUCCUACGGGAGGCAGCAGGGGGGAAUAUUGCACAAUGGGCGGAAGCCUGAUGCAGCAACGCCGCGUGCGGGAUGACGGCCUUCGGGUUGUAAACCGCUUUCGCCUGUGACGAAGCGUGAGUGACGGUAAUGGGUAAAGAAGCACCGGCUAACUACGUG